Molecule: non-coding RNA, 4618 nt
Organism: Podarcis lilfordi (Lilford's wall lizard)
Lineage: Eukaryota; Metazoa; Chordata; Lepidosauria; Squamata; Lacertidae
Source: the annotation of a GenBank genome assembly
CUUGGGAGGUGUUGCAGAUACAGAUGGCUUCGGUAUUCCCUCCCCUCUUCCACUUCUCUGCUGAAACCCCUCUUUUACCUUUUGCCUCAACAGAAGGAAGAUCCCUUGGGAUGCAAUCAAUAAGGUAAAGAGAAGAAAAGAUGCCCAAGACAGGCCCAGUCACACUACCUGUGUGUUGUGCUGGGAAUCUGCAGUUUGCAGUGGCAAAAGAGACGAGCUGCCUCAGCACCUUGUGGAGCUAUUACCCUUUUAAGAUCACCUGCUUUGACCUCUCAAAUAACCAGAGGCAGGAAGGCUUUACCCAAUGACUCCUGUGUCAUAUUCAAUCACUUGUGACUGAAUUGGGGCAUCUCGCUCUACAUAGUAUCCCAUUAUGACUGUAACAGUUCAUAUAAUGGAUAAUACAAAGUAUGUCUUAUUUCCCAGGAGGUGGGUAGUGGAGUUAGCAGAAGAUUCCAGUGCUCAGAUGAGGAUUUGGGUCAUGUUUUAAGACUGAAUGCUUAUGUCACAGUUCACUUGCCCUUUGUAGUGUUCCCACCCACAUAUUUUUGUCAGAUUUCAUUUGUUUGUCUAUUGUUAUUAUUCUUUUCUAUUGUAACAGCUCAUUAUUGUAGUCCAUUGCUGCAAAAUGCCAUUAUUUUCACCUUAUACCAUCACAGAGCAUUUAAACAUGUCUCAAUAAGUUAAUUAACAAAUGUAUUUGCAUCUCUUAAAGUAUAGUCACAAAUGCACUUUCAAAUGCAAGCCAUUGCUGCUGCUCCAUAGAAUCCUCGGGCACUAAGUCUCCAUCUUGACUCAUUUCCCCCCAAUAAAAUCACCAGAGUGUGAUUUUAUAAGUACUGAAGAAGCGCAACACUUACCUGGGUUGCUCUUGGAGGUGCGCACCGGCGUAUAGUGAUUUUUGGAGGAUGUUCUGAUUGGUGUGUUGUCUUUGGGGGAGGUAUCUAUAGCCGAGAUAGUCUCUCUUUCACAGUGUGCUAUGGGGAUUGGUCCCUGCUGCCGGAGGAUAUCGGCCAGAGCCCUGCAAGGAAGGAUGGAAGACAGUGCAAAGUGUUCACAACUCAAGAUGAACGUAAGAGAACUUGUCUCUAUGUAAUACAAUGCAAUUUAUUUUAUUUUUUUAAAAAAGAAUAUACUGUGGGCCUUACAUUUUCUUUCUUGUGUGUGUGAAUGUAUUCUUUUGUAUAAACACUAGAUGUAAUGGAGAUAUGAGAGGAGAAAGAAAAACAAAUAGAGAAAGAGAGAGCAGAAGCAGGAUGGUGUCAAAGUUCCGAGCAGGACUCUCUGUGUUGGUGGUUGCCCAUUCACUUGAAGCACUGUCUAUGGGUCAAGAUUGGAAUGCAUAGACAGGAGCCAGAAUAUCGUAAGUAAAAGCCACAGUACAACUUUCUAACACAUAUAAUGUAUGUCAGCUGUUUGAACUUUAUGCCAUUUGUACUCCUGCAUUGUAUGUAUUCUUGCUAGAAAAAACAUGCAUACACACACACAGUAGCAGCUGAUUUGAUGGGACACAGCCAAGGAAACCCACUCCCAGCACUAGUCACUACAGAUGCUGCUGCGGCAAGAUCAGGGCUGUGUUAGUGCACUUUCAGAGAUAAUCAGGUGUUCAUGCUGCUGCCUCCACACAGCCCCAACCUUGCCCCACCUCAUCUUCCUCCAGGUAAGGUGCUGGUGUCAAGAAAGCAGCUCCAUAGCUCUGCUCAACCACAAUGGCUGCUACUGCACACACACACACACACACACACACACUCACACACUCACAAUGCUUUAUGUUACAAUAUAUAUUUUUAAAGCCUCUGCUGACACAUUUGAACCUGGCCCAAUCAUCUGUAAUUUGCCACACACAGUAUAUUCUUUACAAAAGGAAAAGGAGGUGGCAUACCUUUGUUGCAGAGCACAAACUCUGCAUGGAAAAGUUCUCUGUUUCAAUCCCUGGUGUUUCCAGGUGUGGUUUCACAAGGCAUCAGUUUGACAGCUGCUGCUACUCUAUAUCAAUCAGCCUUCUCCAACCUGGUGCUAUCCAGAUUUGUUGAACCCCAACUCUCAUCAGUCCUAGCCAGCAUGGGUCAGGAAUGGUGUGAGUUGCAACCCAGAGAAGAAAAAACAACUCUGGAGGCAACUGGGUUUCAAAAGGCUGGUGUUAUCCAUACCAAGCUAGAAUUCAAAUAAGGUGGCUUCAAAUCACAAUGUUAGUUAUGUGAAAAUCUCAGUUGCAUCUCCUUCUCUCUCUCCUAGGUGUGCCUUUUGAAGAAAUAUCCCUGUGGGAUAUGAACCAUGGCUCCUUCCAGGUAGCAUUAAUGGUUUUCAAAGUGUUUCCCAAGGUUCCCAUUCCAUAAGGGGGCUGAAUCUAUAACUAUAAAUAGUAUAGUUAGUAUCUAUAACUAUAAUUAGAAGUGAAAUAUGCAACACCAGAUCUUUAAGCUUAUUCAUUCUCUCCAGGUGAGGUAAAGGUCCCAGAUUUAUAGAAUUAUUUACCUGUUUAUGCACCACUGAUGCUGCUAUUCAGGUUAUUAAGCAAGCUUUAAAACCAUCUUGCAUAUUCUUGAUUGUUUUAGGAUGAUGUUAUGGAGUGUAUUUCUUACACCUUUAAUCUUGGCUGUAAUUAGCUUUUAUCUGCUGUCAAUUUAUGGUAUUUUAAAUCAUUGUUGGAUUUUGUUCUACUUAUUUUCCAUGAAUUGUUUUAUAAAUUGUAGGCUACCUUGUGAGGGUUUUUAUUCUGAAAAGCAUCUUAAAAUCCUCCAUUAAAUGAAUAAUACCUUGGGCACAAUCCACUAGACCUGUAGUAUGAAUCCCUCUGAAAUGGAGUUGCACAAGAGCUAUAUUGCAAUACAUCACUUCUUCCAUUGCAGAAGCUUGCUAAGAAAGCAAAUUAAGUAGAACACAUGAAUUUAAAUUUCUGUGCAGCAAGCUUUCAAACAGAGUGAUUCUUUAGAUCUCAUUUUGAUUUGCAAAUGGGAUAGUUCCUAUUGGGUUUCCGAUCCCAUUGUUUCUUUUUUUACACAGAUAAAACAGUGUCCAAACUCUUUGCUCCAGCUGACAUGAAAACCUUUCUGAAAAAGAUACAGAAUGGCAAAAGGAGGAAGGGAGUGUGGGGGGGCAAGACAGGAACAAGAAAUUAGGUGGUGAAAAGGGUAAGAACACUGGGUUUUUAAAAAAUGCAUUAUAUAUAUCUAUUUAAUUGUUGAUUAAAAAAAAAAUAGUAACAGUUGUUCCGCUUUUCAGAAGAUGCUGAUUUUCAUGAAAAGUUCUGGAGUAACUAACAAACACAACCCCAUUAGGGACCUGGAUUAUGAUGAACAAGAUAUCCAGGUUCCUUGUGAAAAGUACAUCUGCAUUCAGUGCUGCAGCACUAAAAAAAAAUACAUCAAGACUCUUCCCACAGUGAGAUGCUUUUGUGGAUGUUUGAAUGAUAUUUCAUCUGUGAGAAUUUUAGACUCCGCAGAACAGGAGUGGAAGGAAACACAUGGGUUGCUUUCUUUGUGUAGCCAAGAUCUACAAAGACUCUUCCAUGACAUGGAGAGGGCAAGAGAGUUUGGCUUGGAAGCAGUAGGAGAGGCUUUAAUGCUCAUACAAUGUAAUAGGCUCUGUUCUCUCUAGUGGGGAAACAGGCCUAGAGUCAAUCUGUUACCAAUGCAAGGAUGGGAAACAAUGGGAUUCCUUAAUGCAUUAUUGUUGAAGCCUGCAAGUUGUACGAGAAACAGCUCAUUUAUAUCAGGGCUGGUAUUCCUUUGGAUCUUCAGCUGCUUCAGGACUCAAACAGCUUUCAGCUCCAGCCUGCAUGGCCAAUGGUCAAGGAUUAUGGGAGCUGUAGUCCAGCAACUUCUAGAGUGGAACAUGUUAGCCACCCCUUUUUCUUUUUCAAUCCCUCUUAGACAGGUUCAAGAUUACGAAUCACUCUUUUCCUCGGGCACCAGCCCCAUGCACAAUCAGCAACAAAUAACAAGAGUAGUGCCAAAAAUUUCCUUCAACUUUUUCAAAGCAUUGAGUUCACUGAUGGCCUUGAAGGAAAAGACAGCUUAAUGUCUCCUUUUUUUACAGUUAUAAUUCUAUAAUGAUAAGAUAUGGCAGUAGGGUGGUGUCCUAUGGCGCUGGGACUUGUCCACAGCAGGACAGAGAGAUGAGAGUGAAUUGCAAGCAUCAGUUCUCUUGGUUGCAUGAAGUCUAUAAAUCAAAAUCUGCACCACAGUAACCCAAAUUCUGUGCACUGGUUCAUAUCAAAACCACACAUCUGUGGCAUCAAAUUCCUGAGAAUGGACAGAAAUACUAUAACUGAGCAGAACACAAAAGAACAAGCUUUCUGUUACCAAAGAACGCAUCCCUUGUAUUGAGGGAUGCAUUGCCAGUCAGCAUCUCUUCUUCAGAUACGUAUAAAUUUGGGUGCAAGAGCAUGGCAGAGACUCCAGAGAAGACAAGCUAUGAUGGAUACUACCCCACAAAUAUGCAGUUUGGAAGUGCAGGCUAACCAGUGGGAAAUGAUGAGAGCCAAGAAGGAGAUGCAGUCUUGAGGAGAAGCUGAUAAGAGGGGAAGCACUAUGGCUUAGUGGUAGAAGGCAGACUUUGCUCCUGCCUAACUAUCCUUUUAAAGUUCAUUGGGAGUAUCAAUAAGCAUGUGGAUAGG